GUGGCUCAAUGGUAGAGUGCUUGCCUUGCAUGCAUGAGGCCCUAGGUUUGAUUCCUAGC
RNAcentral lists this transfer RNA (59 nucleotides) under Dipodomys ordii (Ord's kangaroo rat). It matches the Rfam family "tRNA", at positions 7 to 64 of the family's 71-position model. Rfam says of the family: Transfer RNA (tRNA) molecules are approximately 80 nucleotides in length. Their secondary structure includes four short double-helical elements and three loops (D, anti-codon, and T loops). The record is from Rfam by way of RNAcentral. Lineage: Eukaryota; Metazoa; Chordata; Mammalia; Rodentia; Heteromyidae.